AGGCAAUUUAACCCUUUCGCAACGCUGAGUCAGCACUAUCGAUGGCUCAACGCUGAGUCAGCACCACUCAACACUGUAGUCCAGAGGCUAAUGGGAUCUCUCAGAUCUACUAUUGUGCUGGACUUCUCUUAAAUUGUGAGGGACAAUCUUGCCGGAGUGGUUCCCAGUGUCUCCUAAGCAGAUCAUGUGUACAUGUUUACACACAGUGCAAUGGAUAGUGGCAUCUAGACAGAUCCUAUGUGACUGUUUCCCUUUCUCCAACUUUCUGAACCGCUCGAAUAUCUUGUCUCUGGCUAGUUUAAGGAGGGUUGUAACCAGGUAAUCAAUCCGUCUAUUUUGCUUGUGCUGAAGGUAAACAACUUUCAGAGUUCGAUGAAAAGUCUCUAAGUGCAUGUUGGUGUUCACUGUGGUGUGACACCUGUAUGCAUAAGCCCAUUGAUCUAAGCGAGUUGUAUAGUGCAUCUGAAAGUAAGAGAAGAACUUCUUUUGUUUUUGACUAACUUCUGUAAUGAAGUGUUGGAGGCAUAAACGAAAUUUUGAUUUAUCUAGCUCUGUAAGGAGUAAACGGAGCUGAUGGUAAAUUUCUAUUUGAUCACUCCUAUUGGGUACAUACUCUUGGAGUGCAUGACGCCAAGCUCUGUCUAUAUGCCAUGUACAGAGUAGCUUUUUGGUUUGGUUGUCUCCAAAUACAGCUCUCCAUGCAGUAAAGAACUGUUCUGCGUCGUCGGACAUAAACCAUUGAGGAGAGAUGUCCCCUGUUUUCUCUUUAACAGCCUUGAAAAAUUCCACAAGAAUCAAAGAGUCUUGCCGGUUUGAAAUCAUCCAUGCAACAGGUACUCCUUCAUUGUACUCGUCCAGGACGAGUAAGGUCUUGCUUCGUGACUAAGUGCUCUCUGUGUAGCUUACCAGGUACUGAGUCAUAGAUGUCGUCAAGAAUGCGCUCUAUUGGGGUACCCUGGUAUAGUUUACCAGCCAUCUCCAUUCGCUUGGAAGUAGAAAUUCAUCAAAAGUAUGAAAAUUGGCUUCGUUCACUUCCAUGUUCAUAUUGUGGCUCAAUUGUAAAUGAGCUAUAAGAUCAGCGAUUGUCUUCAAUCUACACGAAGAACAUGUCUGCUAGUGGCCGUUUCUUGAGUGUGGCCAAUGAGUUGCUCGACAAUACUGGAGCCAAAGACAAUUGCCGGUACACAUCGUCAAGGUAUCUCAGAAGCUCUACUGUGCACGUCUUGCCUGUAUGUAUGGAUUCGUUGCUACGGCAGGACAUUCAUAGUUAUAAUUAAUUAUACGGACUAUAUACACAAGACUUAAUAAUGUCCUUAUUUAUUGUGUUACCUGAAUUACACAGCGUGCACUCUUCUUCGUUAUGAUUCUCUGCAAUAUGCCUCAUCCUAUUCAUAAAAUG
Long non-coding RNA from Halichondria panicea, 1399 nucleotides. RefSeq lists it as uncharacterized. The transcript has 7 exons. NCBI's taxonomy places the organism in Eukaryota, Metazoa, Porifera, Demospongiae, Suberitida, Halichondriidae. The record is from RefSeq and is a predicted model, not a curated record.